AGAGAAAGAAAAUUCGAUUCCCUUAGUAGCGGCGAGCGAAACGGGAAGAGCCCAAACCAACAAGCUUGCUUGUUGGGGUUGUAGGACACUCUAUACGGAGUUACAAAGGACGACAUUAGACGAAUCAUCUGGAAAGAUGAAUCAAAGAAGGUAAUAAUCCUGUAGUCGAAAAUGUUGUCUCUCUUGAGUGGAUCCUGAGUACGACGGAGCACGUGAAAUUCCGUCGGAAUCUGGGAGGACCAUCUCCUAAGGCUAAAUACUCUCUAGUGACCGAUAGUGAACCAGUACCGUGAGGGAAAGGUGAAAAGCACCCCGGAAGGGGAGUGAAAUAGAACCUGAAACCGUGUGCUUACAAGUAGUCAGAGCCCGUUAAUGGGUGAUGGCGUGCCUUUUGUAGAAUGAACCGGCGAGUUACGAUUUGAUGCAAGGUUAAGCAGUAAAUGUGGAGCCGUAGCGAAAGCGAGUCUGAAUAGGGCGUUUAGUAUUUGGUCGUAGACCCGAAACCAGGUGAUCUACCCUUGGUCAGGUUGAAGUUCAGGUAACACUGAAUGGAGGACCGAACCGACUUACGUUGAAAAGUGAGCGGAUGAACUGAGGGUAGCGGAGAAAUUCCAAUCGAACCUGGAGAUAGCUGGUUCUCUCCGAAAUAGCUUUAGGGCUAGCCUCAAGUGAUGAUUAUUGGAGGUAGAGCACUGUUUGGACGAGGGGCCCCUCUCGGGUUACCGAAUUCAGACAAACUCCGAAUGCCAAUUAAUUUAACUUGGGAGUCAGAACAUGGGUGAUAAGGUCCGUGUUCGAAAGGGAAACAGCCCAGACCACCAGCUAAGGUCCCAAAAUAUAUGUUAAGUGGAAAAGGAUGUGGCGUUGCCCAGACAACUAGGAUGUUGGCUUAGAAGCAGCCAUCAUUUAAAGAGUGCGUAAUAGCUCACUAGUCGAGUGACACUGCGCCGAAAAUGUACCGGGGCUAAACAUAUUACCGAAGCUGUGGAUUGUCCUUUGGACAAUGGUAGGAGAGCGUUCUAAGGGCGUUGAAGCAUGAUCGUAAGGACAUGUGGAGCGCUUAGAAGUGAGAAUGCCGGUGUGAGUAGCGAAAGACGGGUGAGAAUCCCGUCCACCGAUUGACUAAGGUUUCCAGAGGAAGGCUCGUCCGCUCUGGGUUAGUCGGGUCCUAAGCUGAGGCCGACAGGCGUAGGCGAUGGAUAACAGGUUGAUAUUCCUGUACCACCUAUAAUCGUUUUAAUCGAUGGGGGGACGCAGUAGGAUAGGCGAAGCGUGCGAUUGGAUUGCACGUCUAAGCAGUAAGGCUGAGUAUUAGGCAAAUCCGGUACUCGUUAAGGCUGAGCUGUGAUGGGGAGAAGACAUUGUGUCUUCGAGUCGUUGAUUUCACACUGCCGAGAAAAGCCUCUAGAUAGAAAAUAGGUGCCCGUACCGCAAACCGACACAGGUAGUCAAGAUGAGAAUUCUAAGGUGAGCGAGCGAACUCUCGUUAAGGAACUCGGCAAAAUGACCCCGUAACUUCGGGAGAAGGGGUGCUCUUUAGGGUUAACGCCCAGAAGAGCCGCAGUGAAUAGGCCCAAGCGACUGUUUAUCAAAAACACAGGUCUCUGCUAAACCGUAAGGUGAUGUAUAGGGGCUGACGCCUGCCCGGUGCUGGAAGGUUAAGAGGAGUGGUUAGCUUCUGCGAAGCUACGAAUCGAAGCCCCAGUAAACGGCGGCCGUAACUAUAACGGUCCUAAGGUAGCGAAAUUCCUUGUCGGGUAAGUUCCGACCCGCACGAAAGGCGUAACGAUUUGGGCACUGUCUCAACGAGAGACUCGGUGAAAUCAUAGUACCUGUGAAGAUGCAGGUUACCCGCGACAGGACGGAAAGACCCCGUGGAGCUUUACUGUAGCCUGAUAUUGAAAUUCGGCACAGCUUGUACAGGAUAGGUAGGAGCCUUUGAAACGUGAGCGCUAGCUUACGUGGAGGCGCUGGUGGG
RNAcentral lists this ribosomal RNA (1978 nucleotides) under Staphylococcus aureus. RNAcentral describes it as "partial 23S ribosomal RNA". It matches the Rfam family "Bacterial large subunit ribosomal RNA", at positions 216 to 2196 of the family's 2925-position model. The record is from RNAcentral. Lineage: Bacteria; Bacillati; Bacillota; Bacilli; Caryophanales; Staphylococcaceae.